CGCGCAUAGCUGCCCUUGCUUUUUGGCCAGGCAGAGGAGAGAUAACCAGAUAGAAAAUGAGUCGACUUCCGUGGAGCAGAGAGGAGCACACAUGAGCUCAGACACCCCACCAGGGCACUCUCAGAACAGCCUGAAGAAAGGCCAGGACCGCUAGGGCAGCCAAGAACAUCUAUUAAGUGCCGACUGUUUAAGACCGGGACCAAGGCCAUCCCUGAUGUCAUGGAAGAUUUCUGGUGCCAAGAGGCAGGCGAACUGCACAGCAGCUGGAAAACUAAAAAUUAAGCAAGAGGCACAAAAUACCACGUAUUGGGCCCCAAGAAGCUUCCUCCUCUGUGCAAAUUCUAAAGGAGAGUAGUCGCAGCUGAUAAAAACAGGGUGUCUGAAAAACUCUGGCUGGUUUCCAAGACUGCUUCAAUGAGAAAAGAAUAAAACUUCUCAUUUUC
Molecule: long non-coding RNA, 443 nt
Organism: Ailuropoda melanoleuca (giant panda)
Lineage: Eukaryota; Metazoa; Chordata; Mammalia; Carnivora; Ursidae
Exons: 3
Source: RefSeq, a predicted model, not a curated record